RNAcentral lists this ribosomal RNA (464 nucleotides) under Vreelandella stevensii. RNAcentral describes it as "partial 16S ribosomal RNA". It matches the Rfam family "Bacterial small subunit ribosomal RNA", at positions 339 to 795 of the family's 1533-position model. Lineage: Bacteria; Pseudomonadati; Pseudomonadota; Gammaproteobacteria; Oceanospirillales; Halomonadaceae. The record is from RNAcentral.
CUACGGGUGGCUGCAGUGGGGAAUAUUGGACAAUGGGCGAAAGCCUGAUCCAGCCAUGCCGCGUGUGUGAAGAAGGCCUUCGGGUUGUAAAGCACUUUCAGUGGGGAAGAAAGCUUUGGGGCUAAUACCCUCGAGGAAGGACAUCACCCACAGAAGAAGCACCGGCUAACUCCGUGCCAGCAGCCGCGGUAAUACGGAGGGUGCGAGCGUUAAUCGGAAUUACUGGGCGUAAAGCGCGCAUAGGCGGUCUGAUAAGCCGGUUGUGAAAGCCCCGGGCUCAACCUGGGAACGGCAUCCGGAACUGUCAGGCUAGAGUGCAGGAGAGGAAGGUAGAAUUCCCGGUGUAGCGGUGAAAUGCGUAGAGAUCGGGAGGAAUACCAGUGGCGAAGGCGGCCUUCUGGACUGACACUGACGCUGAGGUGCGAAAGCGUGGGUAGCAAACAGGAUUAGAUACCCUAGUAGUC